GGGGUUGUGGCUCAGAGGUACAAUGCUCACCUAGGAUGUGUGGGGCUCUGGGUUUGAUUCUCAGCAACACAG
Molecule: transfer RNA, 72 nt
Filed under: Marmota monax (woodchuck)
Lineage: Eukaryota; Metazoa; Chordata; Mammalia; Rodentia; Sciuridae
Description: tRNA.Pro
Source: RNAcentral